RNAcentral lists this transfer RNA (74 nucleotides) under Camelus bactrianus (Bactrian camel). It matches the Rfam family "tRNA". From Rfam's summary of the family: Transfer RNA (tRNA) molecules are approximately 80 nucleotides in length. The record is from Rfam by way of RNAcentral. Lineage: Eukaryota; Metazoa; Chordata; Mammalia; Artiodactyla; Camelidae. RNAcentral also lists the same sequence under 2 other names.
GAGGGUAUAGCUCAGUAGUAGAGUGCAUGCUUAGCAUGCACGAGAGGUCCUGGCUUCAAUCCCCAGUACCUCCA